RNAcentral lists this ribosomal RNA (1419 nucleotides) under Micrococcus endophyticus. Its description in RNAcentral is "bacterial SSU rRNA". It matches the Rfam family "Bacterial small subunit ribosomal RNA". The record is from RNAcentral. Lineage: Bacteria; Bacillati; Actinomycetota; Actinomycetes; Micrococcales; Micrococcaceae.
CUUACCAUGCAGUCGAACGAUGAAGCCCAGCUUGCUGGGUGGAUUAGUGGCGAACGGGUGAGUAACACGUGAGUAACCUGCCCUUGACUCUGGGAUAAGCCUGGGAAACUGGGUCUAAUACCGGAUAGGAACGUCCACCGCAUGGUGGGUGUUGGAAAGAUUUAUCGGUCAUGGAUGGACUCGCGGCCUAUCAGCUUGUUGGUGAGGUAAUGGCUCACCAAGGCGACGACGGGUAGCCGGCCUGAGAGGGUGACCGGCCACACUGGGACUGAGACACGGCCCAGACUCCUACGGGAGGCAGCAGUGGGGAAUAUUGCACAAUGGGCGAAAGCCUGAUGCAGCGACGCCGCGUGAGGGAUGACGGCCUUCGGGUUGUAAACCUCUUCAGUAGGGAAGAAGCGAAAGUGACGGUACCUUGCAGAAGAAAGCACCGGGCUAACUACGUGGCCAGCAGCCGCGGUAAUACGUAGGGUGCGAGCGUUAUCCGGGAAUUAUUGGGCGUAAAGAGCUCGUAGGCGGUUUGUCGCGUCUGUCGUGAAAGUCCGGGGCUUAACCCCGGAUCUGCGGUGGGUACGGGCAGACUAGAGUGCAGUAGGGGAGACUGGAAUUCCUGGUGUAGCGGUGGAAUGCGCAGAUAUCAGGAGGAACACCGAUGGCGAAGGCAGGUCUCUGGGCUGUAACUGACGCUGAGGAGCGAAAGCAUGGGGAGCGAACAGGAUUAGAUACCCUGGUAGUCCAUGCCGUAAACGUUGGGCACUAGGUGUGGGGACCAUUCCACGGUUUCCGCGCCGCAGCUAACGCAUUAAGUGCCCCGCCUGGGGAGUACGGCCGCAAGGCUAAAACUCAAAGGAAUUGACGGGGGCCCGCACAAGCGGCGGAGCAUGCGGAUUAAUUCGAUGCAACGCGAAGAACCUUACCAAGGCUUGACAUGUUCUCGAUCGCCGUAGAGAUACGGUUUCCCCUUUGGGGCGGGAUCACAGGUGGUGCAUGGUUGUCGUCAGCUCGUGUCGUGAGAUGUUGGGUUAAGUCCCGCAACGAGCGCAACCCUCGUUCCAUGUUGCCAGCACGUAAUGGUGGGGACUCAUGGGAGACUGCCGGGGUCAACUCGGAGGAAGGUGGGGACGACGUCAAAUCAUCAUGCCCCUUAUGUCUUGGGCUUCACGCAUGCUACAAUGGCCGGUACAAUGGGUUGCGAUACUGUGAGGUGGAGCUAAUCCCAAAAAGCCGGUCUCAGUUCGGAUUGGGGUCUGCAACUCGACCCCAUGAAGUCGGAGUCGCUAGUAAUCGCAGAUCAGCAACGCUGCGGUGAAUACGUUCCCGGGCCUUGUACACACCGCCCGUCAAGUCACGAAAGUCGGUAACACCCGAAGCCGGUGGCCUAACCCUUGUGGGGGAGCCGUCGAAGGUGACCACCAUGCC